UUCCAUUCUUAAAUCUGCCAGUGUCCCAAGGUGGCUGCUGUACUCCAUCCAGCCAAGGUAGCUGCUGGCUCUCCAUCCAGUCAAGGUGGCUGUGGACUCUCCAUCUAUUCAAGGUGGCUGUGGAUUCUCCAUCUAUUCAAGGUGGCUGUGGCAUUCCAUCCAACCAUUUAACAUAUCUUUCAGACAGCAAGAAAUGGAAAGGAAAACUGUUGCAUCUCUGUUGAGAAGAAUUUCCAGAAAUACCACUCCUGCAUUCAUGGAUUUCAUUGGCCAGAAAUCAGUCAUGUGGCCAACUCUAGCUUGUAAGAAGGUGUCUUUUGUUUCUUCACAAUGUUUUAUGGAUGUUUAAGUGGAUCACUGUUUCCUAAACAGACAAGCUUUGAGAAUCCUGAAAACUAAAAUUCCUGACAACAGGACCAAAGAGGGAGAUACAUGAGAUCAGAGCUGGACAGUGAAAUGCCAGUUCUUCCUCUGAGGGCCUGAACUUCUAACAAGCUGAGGAAUCACGGACAUCUCUGCCUCAGCAGACCCCUCAGAUAAAGGCUCCUUGUAAUUGGCGGAUAUCAUUUUUUGUGAAGCUCAGAAGCAUGUCUCUUACUUCUCAUCCCAGAGUUCCUUGGUGAUUUAUCACCAAGUUAUGGGUCCCAUGGGAAGAUGCCAUCUGGAUCAAGAGAUUCUUCUAAACUCAGCACCAGACAGUCUCCACCAGGGCUGGCAGCUUGAACUUGCCCUUGGCACUUCACUUCCGAUUCUAGGAGAGCAGCAGCGCCCCCUGCGGGCGUCCUUCUAAGCCCCAGGUUGGUUUCCUGAAUCUGGGUCUGAGCAAGGAGGACUGGAGCAGCUUCGGGAGCCGGGAGGCAAGGCCCCGCGGCCAGCUAGGAGAUGCUGCUUCCCAUCAGACCUACUACCCGACAAUCCUUCGACGGUCUGCGGCGCACUGCAUCAACCCACAGAGAAAACCCUCUGCUGGGGGAUCAAGGCUAGGAGGCGAGGGAAGGACAAGGAAGCAAAUGGCUCAGUCGGUACCCGGAA
Long non-coding RNA from Nannospalax galili (Upper Galilee mountains blind mole rat), 1032 nucleotides. RefSeq lists it as uncharacterized. The transcript has 5 exons. The record is from RefSeq and is a predicted model, not a curated record. NCBI's taxonomy places the organism in Eukaryota, Metazoa, Chordata, Mammalia, Rodentia, Spalacidae.